ACAACCCGAAAUAACCUCAAAAAUCCGCCGUUUCAGCAGAGCUGCCUGCAAUGCAUAAUUCGGAAUGGGGUGUGCAUCGUCUUUUUUAUUUUUUAAUAUUUUUUUUUCAUUCUCUAGGUUUUUUGGUUUUAUUUCUGUCUGUCUGUCAUGCAGAGAAGCAUCCCCAUCCCGGGUGCGCCCCGUCGGGGUCCGGUACGGGAGGCGGGAGCUGUGACUUCUCGCCAGCUUCUCGGAGACCCCGCUCCCCGCCGGGAGCUCAAAGCUGUCUGUCGGAUAAUGGGGCGGUGGGACUUUGUUUAACCCCGUUGCCCCUGGGGCCAGGGGUCAAGGGCUUCCUCUUCCCCCGGGACACGGCGGAGACGCCGCUGGUCACAAGCGGAGACGGCGGCGAGGAGGGGAAGCGAUGGCCGCAGUGUCCCCCCGUCCCCGCCGCGGCCCUCCCGUGCCAUCGCCCUGGGAUCCCCUAAACCUCUUCUCUCCCGGGCAUCGAGAGGCUGAGAUGGGCUCCAGAUGGGUGUUUUGGGGGAGCAGGGGGAGGCCAAACAUCAGCACGGGGCAGCGGGUGAUGAUGCAGAGAGGCAGCCCCUGCUUUCCAGCAUCCCGCGGUUCUGCUUUCCCCUCCCAGCUGGAGCAGGAGGUUUUUAACGGGGUGCGGGUUUAAACGGUGUUGCACCCCCUCCCUCCACAGGUAGAGAUGUCUCAGCUGCCCCCCCGGAGCCAAGAAACGGGAGAAACGGGCAAUUUUUAUAGGUGACGUACGGGCUUACGUGGGAAUCCGUGCCCAGCACUGCUCUUUCAGCUUCUUUUUCUCCUGAAAUAACCCUUCCGUGAAGCUCGUACCCCCCUAUUCCAGCUCGCAAGCCCUUUUUCAGGCUGGGGAGGAGUCGGGGGAGAGGGAAGGAAAAGAGAAAAGCAAAGCCCCCCAACAUCCCGCUCUUCCCCUGCUCGGGAAGCGAGCCCCGGAGCUCCCAAAGUGAGCGCUGAAGAGGGCGACAGGAGACAGGCGGGAGCCGGCUCCGAGCUGGAGGGGUCGGGGGUGGGAUGACAGCGGAGGAGGACCCUCCUUUUCGGGAUUAAGGGAGAACCAGCGGAGGAGGGAAGCUGGCGGCACCGCGGGCAUCCGAGGUUUUCGACUCUGGGUGAGCAAAAGGAUUUCUUACACUCCCCGGGAAGAGGAGAAGACGCGCUUUCUUUCUUUUUUUUUUUUUUUUUUUUAAUGGUGUUAAUUGCUUUUAAAAUAAAAUACUACGGAAUCUGGCAACGAGCUCCGGUUUCUGCUGGCGGUGCCAUUUGGGGUUGUAUUUCCUUUCGUGGCAACUCGCAGAUGCAAAAAAGGAAAAUAACGGGGGAAUUUAAAAACACGAAUGUAAAGGCGAGGCGGCGUGUUCGGCUGUUGCAGAUCUCUCGGGCUCGAUCGGUUUAUUUUUUCCUACAUAGAAAACCUGUCUGGGGAUCCCUGUGUAUUCAUCGGGGCGGCGAGAGACUCCCCAGAGCCGCUCCGGGGCAUCGGUGGAGUGAAUCGGAGAUAAAAAUUAGGAGCCAGGUUAAACGCAGGAAGGAAGAGGAGAGGUCGGAAGCGGAGCAAAGCUCCUGGCCGCCCUGCCCCGGCCGUGCCCGCACCUUGGAGCGGACGGACGGAAGGACGGACGGACGGAUGGCCGGCAUCCCCGACGGAGGGAUGUUUCUGUCUUUGGUUAUCUAGCUGUAUGAGUGUUGUGGAGCCAUCAUAAAGCUAGAUAACCGAAAGUAGAAAUGACUUCCAGACCUGCUCGCCCAGGGGAAGCGGCCGCACCAGGACCGGCAGUGCAGAGACGGCCCGACUCGCCGCCCUGGGGGCUCCAGACAUGACUGAGAGUUCCUGGAGUGGGAUGCCUUGGGAAGGGCUGGGACGUCUCCACCUGAGCAAGGAGAGAUCCCAGUGAGUGGACAAGGAACUUUUGAAGCCUGUGAGUUCCUUCUUCUAGUUGACUGCCACCUGCCUGGACUUGCCAUCUGACUUCUCUGAGUUUCUCCAGAAGUGUCCCAACCUCCUUCUCCAUUGGCCCCAGAGAGGAGACAGCUUUGUCUCGUGAACACAGUGGAUUUCUGCAUCACUUCGGAACACAGCGGUGCAGCCAUGGGGAGGGAGCCAGGGCAGCACAGGGAGCCAAGGGAUCAUCCCACAUCAUCACUCCUGUACGUUGCCUUCAGUGCCCUCAAUACCCCAGAGCAGGACCAAAGUGCUCAGGCAGAGAGACCUGAGCCAGUCACUGUCUCACCUGGUGAAAUACCAGCUGUGUGAAGUUUGUCUUUGCUCAUGGAGCAGAGCUCAGCCCUUGCUGCUCUUGAUCCCUGGGUCUGUGGAGCUGUGGGAGUGCAGCCUUCCCAAAGGCACUGUGCUUGGGGCCCAGAGGACCAUGAGCUUUUCCAGGCCAUGCAGCCCUGCUGCUGUUGUACCGCACCCUCUCUGUUCCUGUAAGAGAAAUGUACUGCCUGUAAUUCUCUCCCAUUCAAAUCCUCCCAACCCCAUGCACUGUUGAAAAUAAACUCUCUCUUUUGCAAAAGCCA
This is a long non-coding RNA of Melozone crissalis (California towhee), 2547 nucleotides long. RefSeq lists it as uncharacterized. The transcript is spliced from 5 exons. NCBI's taxonomy places the organism in Eukaryota, Metazoa, Chordata, Aves, Passeriformes, Passerellidae. The record is from RefSeq and is a predicted model, not a curated record.